Molecule: ribosomal RNA, 253 nt
Filed under: uncultured bacterium
Lineage: Bacteria
Description: partial 16S ribosomal RNA
Rfam family: Bacterial small subunit ribosomal RNA
Source: RNAcentral
UACGUAGGGUGCGAGCGUUAAUCGGAAUUACUGGGCGUAAAGCGUGCGUAGGCGGUUCGUUAAGUUCGUUGUGAAAGCCCCGGGCUCAACCUGGGAACUGCAAUGGAAACUGGCGGGCUUGAGUAUGGCAGAGGGGGGUGGAAUUCCGCGUGUAGCAGUGAAAUGCGUAGAGAUGCGGAGGAACACCGGUGGCGAAGGCGGGUCUCUGGGCCGAUACUGACGCUGAGGAGCGAAAGCGUGGGGAGCGAACAGG